AUUGGUCGAGGUAACCGUAGAAACAGCCAAUGGCUGGGACAGAGGCUUUGGGACAAAAACAUGACGAGGACUGCCGGGGCGCGAUAUUAUGAACCCUACAUAGCCCUCGCCAAAAUCCCGUACCCUGUCCCAAAUCUCGCGAACGGACGCCGGAUUUCCGCUGCGUUGCUAAGGAAACAAUCAACUAUCAACUCGGUGCGAAGCAAAGCUAACGUUAGCUACCUUCAAUUUUGUAAUUUUGUAUUUUUCGCAAUUUUGGACAGCUGGCUGCUUUUGUAAUUUUGGACUGCUGGCUGUCAACAACAGAACGGAGAAUUACUGGCGCACCAUGGGGGACAGAAGGCCAUUGGGACAAUUACAAAACAAUGAGUCGCUGAAAGCUACCUCAGUCUGCCGCUUGUGGGAGUCCCCCCCCGUGUUUGACGUCACCCCUCCCCUCUACUUGCUCCAGCCUGCUGACGGCCAAGGCUCUGGCUGAGUCAACCCCGCACAUACCAGGAAGUAACGCGAGAGCGGCACUUCCUCCCAGAAUGGGACACAGAAAACAUUUGGAAAGGAUAUUUUACCCAACUGAAUGCCGUACACCCCCUUUUAAGAACAUUCCCAACAAAACGGAACAGGCUAUUCAUCUGGAAUAACUCCCUCAGUGCCAUGCAUUGUUUAUAUGUGUAUAUUAUUCUAAUUGUGUUAUUGAUAUUUACUGUUGUUAAAAACUAUCAGUGUGUUCAUUUACAUUGUUCUGUUUUUUUAAUUACAGUUUACAAGGAGGAAUGUAUAUUUGUUUGUGUGUGUUGGUGGGGGUAAAAAGGAGUCUGAUUCACAGAAAUGUUAGUAAAGCUUUGGAAAGAAAAAAGUCACAUCCUCUCACGGCGCUUGGUUUGGCCCCACUACAUACACAUUGUUAAUUCAUUAUACAUGGUUGGUUUUUCAUUUUUUUUAAUCACAACAAAUUAUGUGUGUGCCUGUUUUUACUCAGAUGUCCUUUAACAGUGUUAACAUUUUACCUGGGCCAUUAUUCUUUUCACUCUAAUCAGGUCACACACACACACACACACACACACAAUAUGUAUCUAUACUGACUUGACAGUCCGUUGUGUCAAUGAGUCAUUAGGUAGACCAGCUGGUGUUACUCCUACACCA
Molecule: long non-coding RNA, 1140 nt
Organism: Lampris incognitus (smalleye Pacific opah)
Lineage: Eukaryota; Metazoa; Chordata; Actinopteri; Lampriformes; Lampridae
Exons: 3
Source: RefSeq, a predicted model, not a curated record